RNAcentral lists this ribosomal RNA (396 nucleotides) under Stenomitos frigidus BEA 0966B. Its description in RNAcentral is "bacterial SSU rRNA". It matches the Rfam family "Bacterial small subunit ribosomal RNA", at positions 373 to 784 of the family's 1533-position model. The record is from RNAcentral. Lineage: Bacteria; Bacillati; Cyanobacteriota; Cyanophyceae; Leptolyngbyales; Leptolyngbyaceae.
GGGCGCAAGCCUGACGGAGCAAGACCGCGUGAGGGAGGAAGGCUCUUGGGUUGUAAACCUCUUUUAUCAGGGAAGAAGAUCUGACGGUACCUGAUGAAUCAGCAUCGGCUAACUCCGUGCCAGCAGCCGCGGUAAUACGGAGGAUGCAAGCGUUAUCCGGAUUUAUUGGGCGUAAAGCGUCCGCAGGUGGUUUUUCAAGUCUGCUGUUAAAGCGCGAGGCUUAACUUCGUACAGGCAGUGGAAACUGGAAGACUUGAGUAUGGUAGGGGUAGCGGGAAUUCCCAGUGUAGCGGUGAAAUGCGUAGAUAUUGGGAAGAACACCAGCGGCGAAAGCGCGCUACUGGGCCAUUACUGACACUCAUGGACGAAAGCUAGGGGAGCGAAUGGGAUUAGAUA